Non-coding RNA from Nothobranchius furzeri (turquoise killifish), 792 nucleotides. The record is from RefSeq and is a predicted model, not a curated record. NCBI's taxonomy places the organism in Eukaryota, Metazoa, Chordata, Actinopteri, Cyprinodontiformes, Nothobranchiidae.
UAUUUUUAAUAAUCUUCUAUGUAAACAUUUUAUUACCUUCUAGUUUUAAUUUGUUUUACAGAUUGUUACAAGUGAUUUUAUGCUCUUUUAAACAUUUAUAAAUGUGCUGCUUCUUUGUUUUUAUAGAGCUCACAGCCUCAGUGUCUUGUGACACAGGGACCAUGACAGAAAUUCAUCUUCCAGAAGGUCCCAGAGCAUCCACACCUCCUGAAAAGACCAAGGUGUGAGGUGUCUGCUGUUGAUUCCAGCUUCCACCUCAGUGACAGUGCAAGCUCAGUGAACUGUUCAAGGUAAAAAAAAAAUUAAAACAUUUCUGAAUUUUUAAGAUAUUAACAAUUAAAUAAGUAUGUGAUUACAUCAUGAAGGAGGCUACUGAUUCUGGCCCUGUGACACUUGGUGGUGACGUGUGAGCUGAUUCACCUGGUAAAUAACUUUUAAAUUAAAUAUUUUGUUUUUGCUAUCAAAAGUAAAUUAACUAAUAACCUGCAUUACUGCAGGACACUCAGCAAAAUAUGGACUCUACACCAUGAGGCAGGCACACGUUAAUAACUCUAUAAGAGCACAUAAGCCUGGCUGAUCACCUGAUAACUCCUGUCAUCUGGUUAUGACAGCAUGAGGAUGUCCUCACACACCUGUAACCUAUCAGCUCAUCUAGCAGAAUAGAGAGAGAAGAGACAACACCACAUCUCCUGUUCCUGGAAAGCCUUCAGCCAUCCUUUGAUGACUGAGAACCUCCAUCAGCUCUGUCUCCUGUCUGCCUACAAUUAUUAUAAUAAAUAUUGUGUUUGACAA